This 142-nucleotide small RNA is filed under the name Sinorhizobium meliloti 2011. RNAcentral describes it as "putative ncRNA". Lineage: Bacteria; Pseudomonadati; Pseudomonadota; Alphaproteobacteria; Hyphomicrobiales; Rhizobiaceae. The record is from RNAcentral.
ACCGGAACCGAUGCGGGUGCAGGGGCGGGUUGUGAAGAUCGGAAAUUAAGGGAGUGAUAAGCGAACCGCUGCAAUCUGCUAGAGCGGUAUGUAUUUAAGCCCGUUCAUAUCCCGCCUCUUUGAAGUAGGCUGCGCAUUCCUG